RNAcentral lists this ribosomal RNA (277 nucleotides) under uncultured bacterium. RNAcentral's name for it is "partial 16S ribosomal RNA". It matches the Rfam family "Bacterial small subunit ribosomal RNA", at positions 28 to 306 of the family's 1533-position model. The record is from RNAcentral.
GAUAAACGCUGGCGGCGUGCCUAAUGCAUGCAAGUCGUACGGGGUACUCUUUCGGGGGUAUCGAGUGGCGAACGGGUGAGGAACGCGUGGACAACCUACCCCGGCGUGGGGGAUACCCGCCAGAAAUGGCGGCUAAUACCGCGUACGGUCCAGGGGCGAGGGGCUACCUGGAAGAAAGCAGUGAUGCGCGCUGGGAGGGGUCUGCGGCCGAUUAGCUGGUUGGCGGGGUAAUGGCCCACCAAGGCGAUGAUCGGUAGCUGGUCUGAGAGGAUGAUCA